UGGGGCGUCGCCAAGUGCUAAGGAAAGGGACUUUGACUCCCUCAUCCGCUGUUUCGAGUCCAGCCGUCCCAGCCA
RNAcentral lists this transfer RNA (75 nucleotides) under Dysosmobacter sp. Its description in RNAcentral is "tRNA-Gln". It matches the Rfam family "tRNA". Rfam says of the family: Transfer RNA (tRNA) molecules are approximately 80 nucleotides in length. The record is from RNAcentral. Lineage: Bacteria; Bacillati; Bacillota; Clostridia; Eubacteriales; Oscillospiraceae.